This 771-nucleotide ribosomal RNA is filed under the name uncultured Moraxella sp. RNAcentral describes it as "bacterial SSU rRNA". It matches the Rfam family "Bacterial small subunit ribosomal RNA", at positions 1 to 761 of the family's 1533-position model. Lineage: Bacteria; Pseudomonadati; Pseudomonadota; Gammaproteobacteria; Moraxellales; Moraxellaceae. The record is from RNAcentral.
GCGGGAAUCCGAUUAGAGUUUGAUCCUGGCUCAGAUGAAACGCUGGCGGCAGGCUUAACACAUGCAAGUCGAACGAUGAUUACUAGCUUGCUAGUAUGAUUAGUGGCGAACGGGUGAGUAAUGCUUAGGAAUCUACCUAUUAGUGGGGGACAACAUUCCGAAAGGAAUGCUAAUACCGCAUACGUCCUAUGGGAGAAAGCAGGGGAUCGUAAGACCUUGUGCUAAUAGAUGAGCCUAAGUCGGAUUAGCUAGUUGGUGGGGUAAAAGCCUACCAAGGCGACGAUCUGUAGCUGGUCUGAGAGGAUGAUCAGCCACACUGGGACUGAGACACGGCCCAGACUCCUACGGGAGGCAGCAGUGGGGAAUAUUGGACAAUGGGCGAAAGCCUGAUCCAGCCAUGCCGCGUGUGUGAAGAAGGCCUUUUGGUUGUAAAGCACUUUAAGUGGGGAGGAAAAGUUGACGGUUAAUACCCGCCAGCCCUGACGUUACCCACAGAAUAAGCACCGGCUAACUCUGUGCCAGCAGCCGCGGUAAUACAGAGGGUGCAAGCGUUAAUCGGAAUUACUGGGCGUAAAGCGAGCGUAGGUGGUCAUUUAAGUCAGAUGUGAAAUCCCCGGGCUUAACCUGGGAACUGCAUCUGAUACUGGGUGACUAGAGUAGGUGAGAGGGAAGUAGAAUUCCAGGUGUAGCGGUGAAAUGCGUAGAGAUCUGGAGGAAUACCGAUGGCGAAGGCAGCUUCCUGGCAUCAUACUGACACUGAGGUCGAAAGCG